Molecule: ribosomal RNA, 466 nt
Filed under: uncultured bacterium
Lineage: Bacteria
Description: bacterial SSU rRNA
Rfam family: Bacterial small subunit ribosomal RNA
Source: RNAcentral
UAGGGAAUAUUGGACAAUGGGUGAGAGCCUGAUCCAGCCAUGCCGCGUGCAGGAAGAAGGCGUUAUGCGUUGUAAACUGCUUUUGCCAGGGGAUAAAAAGACCGUGCGCGGUUAAUUGAAGGUACCUGGUGAAUAAGCCACGGCUAACUACGUGCCAGCAGCCGCGGUAAUACGUAGGUGGCAAGCGUUGUCCGGAUUUAUUGGGUUUAAAGGGUGCGUAGGUGGCCCUGUAAGUCAGUGGUGAAAUAUCUCAGCUUAACUGAGAGGGUGCCAUUGAUACUGCAGGGCCUGAGUACAGAUGAGGUAGGCGGAAUUGACGGUGUAGCGGUGAAAUGCAUAGAUAUCGUCAAGAACACCGAUAGCGAAGGCAGCUUACCAAGCUGUAACUGACACUGAGGCACGAAAGUGUGGGGAUCAAACAGGAUUAGAUACCCCCGUAGUCCCUGAGCGGGCUGGCAAGGCGCAU